AAUUAUUCUCUCUCUAGACUGAGACUCCUGAAUCAACCAUUCCUGGAGUGGUGGUGGCAUCCUCAGUAACAGAUUUGGACAAUUCAUUUGUAGGAUCCUCUCAGCUUUCCUAGCCAGGGGCAACAAUCAACAACUUGAAGCAGGUUCUGUGGAAGAAAGGUGAAAUAUAGACCUUCACUGCUUCAAAAGUCUACCUUGGAGAUAAGAAGACUGAAAUACAAAAGAAGGUGUGCAACACUGAAUGGUGACAUCUGAUUGACAUUUCUGCAGACUAAUUCCAAAUGAGUGGUACAAUGUUCCACAUCAUGGAUUACUGAUGUGUGUACAGUUCUGUGGGCAGAAUAUUUUGCUCAUGCAACUUCUAUUUGCUAGGUGUAUCCAUUGGCUGAGUAUCCAGUAUUGGCUGUUAUUUAAAUUGCUUAUUUGUUAUGCUGAUUACAUGGCCCUAAGGACCUAAGGAUGGAGGACUCCUACAGUGUUCUGCAUUAUUUUCCUGUAAUUGUUAAAUAUAGAAGUUCUGUGUUAACAAGAAUUGUUUCACUUUUUCUAUGUAUGAUGACACGCAGCCUUCACUGGUGCAAAGAUAAUUGCUUCAGGGAACUGAUCCUGCAAAUGUUGAACCUUUUGGGAUGAGUUCAGUGCUUAUUCCCUCUGAGCUCCACUGCCUACCAACCCUCAAGGUGAGCUGGUAACACUACAGAGAAACAAUGAGCACUGCUUUCAAGAAAAGAAAAAGACUGUACUAUUUACCAGAUACCUUACCAUGUAUGGUAAUGCUUAAAAUGAUAUCCAUUCAAACUGAUGGGAAAAUUUAGGUAGGCAAAAUGUACUGUCUCAAACUUGAGACCAAGACUCUGGGGAUACACUUCUGUCACAAGGGCAAUGGCAUAAUUAAUCCUGUCCAAAGACAACAAUACUUAUUAAUAGCUAUAUCCUAAUUUUAUUUCUAACACUGAUUUUGAAAACACUCUAUGGUA
This 977-nucleotide long non-coding RNA is filed under the name Gallus gallus (chicken). RNAcentral describes it as "lncRNA (ENSGALG00010011537.1)". Lineage: Eukaryota; Metazoa; Chordata; Aves; Galliformes; Phasianidae. The record is from RNAcentral.